GAUGAACGCUGGCGGUAUGCUUAACACAUGCAAGUCGAACGGACUCUUCGGAGUUAGUGGCGGACGGGUGAGUAACGCGUGAGAAUCUGGCUUUGGGUUCGGGACAACCACUGGAAACGGUGGCUAAUACCGGAUGUGCCGAGAGGUAAAAGAGAAAUUGCCUGAAGAUGAGCUCGCGUCUGAUUAGCUAGUUGGUGAGGUAAAGGCUCACCAAGGCAGCGAUCAGUAGCUGGUCUGAGAGGAUGACCAGCCACACUGGGACUGAGACACGGCCCAGACUCCUACGGGAGGCAGCAGUGGGGAAUUUUCCGCAAUGGGCGACAGCCUGACGGAGCAAUACCGCGUGAGGGAAGAAGGCUCUUGGGUUGUAAACCUCUUUUCUUAGGGAAGAACAAAAUGACGGUACCGAAGGAAUCAGCAUCGGCUAACUCCGU
Molecule: ribosomal RNA, 434 nt
Filed under: uncultured bacterium
Lineage: Bacteria
Description: partial 16S ribosomal RNA
Rfam family: Bacterial small subunit ribosomal RNA
Source: RNAcentral